Molecule: ribosomal RNA, 902 nt
Filed under: Bacillus licheniformis
Lineage: Bacteria; Bacillati; Bacillota; Bacilli; Caryophanales; Bacillaceae
Description: bacterial SSU rRNA
Rfam family: Bacterial small subunit ribosomal RNA
Source: RNAcentral
GCUCUUUUUUGGUUUUUUAUUCUGCUCAGGACGAACGGUGGCGGCGUCCCUAAUACAUGCAAUUCGAGCGGACCGACGGGAGCUUGUUCCCUUAGGUCAGCGGCGGACGGGUGAGUAACACGUGGGUAACCUGCCUGUAAGACUGGGAUAACUCCGGGAAACCGGGGUUAAUACCGGAUGCUUGAUUGACCCGCAUGGUUCAAUCAUAAAAGGUGGCUUUCAGCUACCACUUACAGAUGGACCCGCGGCGCAUUAGCUAGUUGGUGAGGUAACGGCUCACCAAGGCGACGAUGCGUAGCCGACCUGAGAGGGUGAUCGGCCACACUGGGACUGAGACACGGCCCAGACUCCUACGGGAGGCAGCAGUAGGGAAUCUUCCGCAAUGGACGAAAGUCUGACGGAGCAACGCCGCGUGAGUGAUGAAGGUUUUCGGAUCGUAAAACUCUGUUGUUAGGGAAGAACAAGUACCGUUCGAAUAGGGCGGUACCUUGACGGUACCUAACCAGAAAGCCACGGCUAACUACGUGCCAGCAGCCGCGGUAAUACGUAGGUGGCAAGCGUUGUCCGGAAUUAUUGGGCGUAAAGCGCGCGCAGGCGGUUUCUUAAGUCUGAUGUGAAAGCCCCCGGCUCAACCGGGGAGGGUCAUUGGAAACUGGGGAACUUGAGUGCAGAAGAGGAGAGUGGAAUUCCACGUGUAGCGGUGAAAUGCGUAGAGAUGUGGAGGAACACCAGUGGCGAAGGCGACUCUCUGGUCUGUAACUGACGCUGAGGCGCGAAAGCGUGGGGAGCGAACAGGAUUAGAUACCCUGGUAGUCCACGCCGUAAACGAUGAGUGCUAAGUGUUAGAGGGUUUCCGCCCUUUAGUGCUGCAGCAAACGCAUUAAGCACUCCCGCCCGGGAGA